GGGGCUGACCGGAAUUGACAGUAAGCUAAUUGAUAUGCUUGCAUGCCGAGAUUUGGGAGCAAUCUUGUAAAUAAACUCUCAUUGCUUUAAUUGGCAACACCAACUAUGCGAUGGCUGCAUAACUCUAGGAGUUAGCAACAUCUGCUUCAUGGGUCAGUUUUCUUAACACUGGCUCUAUUGAAGUAUCGGUAAGUUAAGAUAGUGAUCUGUGACAUCUCUAAGCAGGCAUGAAAUACCAGAGAAUAAGCCUUGAGUAGGGCGAUUGCACCCGGCUCCUGGUCGAAAAUUAAUUGCGAUCAAAGCAUGUAGACGGUAUCUCGAUACCUUAUCUGGACGAGGGUUCGACUCCCUCCAGCUCCACCC
RNAcentral lists this transfer-messenger RNA (363 nucleotides) under Bacteroidia. RNAcentral's name for it is "GCA-2400975 sp016764395 Standard tmRNA". It matches the Rfam family "transfer-messenger RNA". From Rfam's summary of the family: Bacterial tmRNA, also known as 10Sa RNA or SsrA, is named for its dual tRNA and mRNA-like properties. Its role is to liberate the mRNA from a stalled ribosome. To accomplish this part of the tmRNA is used as a reading frame that ends in a translation stop signal. RNAcentral also lists the same sequence under 1 other name. Lineage: Bacteria; Pseudomonadati; Bacteroidota. The record is from RNAcentral.